CGAACAAUUAAAAACAAGUUCUUCGACUGAGUCACUGGAAAACAAGAACAGAUUAGGAAAUAUUUUGAGACACUGAAUUAAUAAGGGUGUCAAUAAGAUAUAUUUAGCUCAAUUCGAUAUAUAUUGCACAACGAAAGGAGCAUUUUAACCACCAGGACAUACCAGCUGGCUCACAGAGAGAUACUGGCUGCCGCACGUUAGCCAAAGUAAGGAGACCGCAGACAGGUGAGAUUAGAGCGUUAGUUUGUAUUUAUCAUUUUAUUGAUUAAUGACCCAAAUAACGAUUAGAUUAACUUUUCAAUUCUUAUAACCUGUAGCCAAUACAAUUCUCACACACACACCCUGACUGUUCCUCAACAUUAAAAAGUAAAAUCCAGGUUAAAUUUGGAUAGAAAUAACACUCCUAUAACACCGGGCAGUAAUGGUCGGGUGAAACUCGCAUUGAUUGUACAUUGUUAUUAUUAUUAUUAUUAUUUAUAAUGUACAUCUUUGCUCAAUUGUUGUCAUAGCAUGAAGGCUUGAGCUAUAAGAAGGAAGGUGGCCAGCUGGCAAAUAUAUAGGGAAUAGUUUACAAAUAGUGUGCACUCAAGACUGAAUUAGGGAGCAGACUAGCCACCUCCAGGAGUGUGCGUAUCGAGUGAUCAUCUUUUUAGCUAAAAAUAAAGAAUUGAUUGUUGUUGAGAUGUUUGUGCUGCGGUAACGAAACGUAAUACAGAGACAUCAUUUUUAUUGAAUAAUGGCUCAGUGCAAGAGUAGCUAAAAAACGAAUUCUGCAUAAUUCUCGUUAGUGAUCACAGUUAUUUAACCCCUUAAGGACCAAACUUCUGGAAUAAAAGGGAAUAAUGACAUGUCACACGUCAUGUGUUCGUAAGGGGUUAAUGGUGGAGUUUACUCUGUAUUUAUUCUGUUACUGGGAGUGCUGAGUGAAAGGGUUAAUCUGUAUUCAUUCUGUUACUGGGAGUGCUGAGUGAAAGGGUUAAUCUGUAUUCAUUCUUUUACUGGGAGUGCUGAGUGAAAGGGUUAAUCUGUAUUCAUUCUGUUACUGGGAGUGCUGAGUGAAAGGGUUAAUCUGUAUUCUUUCUGUUACUGGGAGUGCUGAGUGAAAAGGGUUAAUCUGUAUUCAUUCUGUUACUGGGAGUGCUGAGUGAAAGGGUUAAUCUGUAUUCAUUCUGUUACUGGGAGUGUUGAGUGAAAGGGUUAAUCUGUAUUCUUUCUGUUACUGGGAGUGCUGAGUGAAAAGGGUUAAUCUGUAUUCAUUCUGUUACUGGGAGUGCUGAGUGAAAGGGUUAAUCUGUAUUCAUUCUGUUACUGGGAGUGCUGAGUGAAAGGGUUAAUCUGUAUUCAUUCUGUUACUGGGAGUGCUGAGUGAACGGGUUAAUCUGUAUUCUUUCUGUUACUGGGAGUGCUGAGUGAAAAGGGUUAAUCUGUAUUCAUUCUGUUACUGGGAGUGCUGAGUGAAAGGGUUAAUCUGUAUUCAUUCUGUUACUGGGAGUGCUGAGUGAAAGGGUUAAUCUGUAUUUAUUCUGUUACUGGGAGUGCUGAGUGAAAGGGUUAAUCUGUAUUCAUUCUGUUACUGGGAGUGCUGAGUGAAAGGGUUAAUCUGUAUUCAUUCUGUUACUGGGAGUGCUGAGUGAAAGGGUUAAUCUGUAUCCUCUCUGUUACUGGGAGUGCUGAGUGAAAGGGUUAAUCUGUAUUUAUUCUGUUACUUGGAGUGCUGAGUGAAAGGAUUAAUCUGUAUUCAUUCUGUUACUAGGAGUUACUGAGUGCUGAGUAUAAGGGUUAAUCUGUAUUCAUUCUGUAACUAGGAGUGCUGAAUGAAAGGGUUAAUCUGUAUCCUCUCUGUUAUUGAGAGCGCAGAGUGAAAAGGUUAAUCUGUAGAGUCUCACUGCUCAAUUCUCUGCCAUUUAAAUCACUUUGUUUCUGCAAUCCUAGUUACACCUCUCUGCAUGUAACUCACAAAGUCUUCCUAAACAAUUCCUGUAUAGAGAGAUCUAAGAUUUACACUUCCUAGCUUGCACAUUCUGUUUAGUUUAUCAUUUCUUAUCUCCUGCUCUGUUAAUAGCCUUCUAGAUCCUACAGAAGCCUUCUUCUCUAUGUGAAUAAAGUUCAAAUUACAGAGCAGGAGAUACAAAGUUAAGUAAGAUUGGAAAUGAAACAAUGUUUCAUGCAGGUUGUGUCAGUCACAGCCAGGGGAGGUGAGGUUAGGGCUGUAUGAACAGAAAUAAAAGUGAUAUAAAUCCUAAAUGGCUAAAAAUUGAGCAGUGACACUACAAAUGCAUGACCUAUAUACCAAAACUGCCUCAUUAAGUGAGAGUUGUUUUGGUGACAAUAGUGUCCCUUUAUUAAAAAAUGCAGCCUUGCUUCCUGUGAGUGAAUAGUUUGUGCCUAUUGAUUAUUUUGAUUAUUUUGAUGUGGGAAUAGAUGGUGUAGACACCACAGCGGCCAUAUUGAUAAAUGAGAAAGAAACAUCUGGUUAAAUUACGAUACUUACUCUCACGUGUUAGAUUUUCCAAAUUGUCCAAACUGCACUUACACUCUGAUUUAAUAUUAAAUAAUAUGGGAUUUCAUGAUUUACUAUAAUGUUGACAUAUUCACCAUAUAAAUCUAUAUUUUGAAUAUAUAGCCAUUUAUCUGUUCAGAUCUGGGAAUUGGACUUUUGUCAAAUUAAUGUUUAUAUACUAAAGUGUUAUUUCUGCCCAACGCAUUUCAUACAAUUCUGGAACGUCUUAUGUUAGAAAUAUUUUGUAGGAGGUUUAAUCUAAUCAAGACGUUCCUCACUGUGAAAUCAAUCCAAUAUCAGUAUCAUGUAACAUUGUUCUUUGAUUUCUGCAGGUGAAUAUAUUUUUCUUAAAUCGAGAAGCAGAACGAGCCAUGGCUAAGGUUAUAAGGAAAGAUGGCGGCUCUGUAAAUAUACGCGGAAACAUGCCGGAAUCUUUAUCUGAUGAGACAAUCACAGUGGAUGUUACAGAAAUCCUGCCACCACCUUCACCAAUAUAUUUAUAUUACUUGGAAACCAAUCAUUUACCAUUUGAUGGACAAACCAAUAGAAAAACUUUUAUUCCCUCCAAUAUCAUGUGUAUGGCUUGCUACUUACCUGGAAAUGGGGACAAAGAAUGGUGUAAAAAGAAUUGUUACCACUGAGUAACAUAAAUACAAUAAGCACUUUGUUUUUAAAAGAAACUGUUACAUAAAAAUAUCCUCUAAUAAAAUCCUUCAUUAAAACCUAUUUUCUGUCUAUUGAUGUUAACUCUGCCAGAAGAUAUUCUGCUUCCACAGAAGGUCUAAUAUGGUUUGUGAUGUGCCACGUUAUUUCUGUAGCCUGUGUAGCCAAAAAUCCUGGCGCCUGCCCUGUGUCUACGUUCUCAUGUUACUUCUAUUACAUGUCUUUACUGCUUUUAAAUUUACUGUUUAUUCCCUAUAACGUUGCCUCCAGAUUUCUCUGAAUGUUUGCCCUGAACUGAGUUGUCACAGAAUGUGGUUCUUUAUAAAAACUGUAUGUAAUGGAUCACCUGGCACACAGACUUGGUACCUCCGUUGAAGGAUGCUCCUAGCGCUUCCUGAGGGUUUCCAGCACUCAAGCAGACACCAUAACCGUAUGGGGAGCAGUGUGUGUAUGGGGGGGCAGUGUGUGUAAAGGGGGGCAGUGUGUGUAUGGGGACACUGUUUGUGGGGCAGUGUGUGUAUGGGGGGCAGUGUGUGUAUGGGACAGUGUUUGUGGGGCAGUGUGUGUAUGGGGACAGUGUUUGUAGGCAGUGUGUGUGUAUGGGGGGCUGUGUUUGGGGGCAGUGUGUGUAUGGGGGGGCAGUGUGUGUAAAGGGGGGCAGUGUGUGUAUGGGGACACUGUUUGUGGGGCAGUGUGUAUAUGGGGGGCAGUGUGUGUAUGGGGACAGUGUUUGUGGGGCAGUGUGUGUAUGGGGACAGUGUUUGUAGGCAGUGUGUGUGUAUGGGGGGCUGUGUGUGUGUAUGGGGGGGGCAGUGUGUGUGUAAUGAGGGGGGAAGGAGGCUUUUUAAUAAUACAUUUUUUUUUAUUUAAUAAAAUAAAUAUUCUAUGUCCCCCCUCCCUUCUUACCUUUAUUUAGGAGGAGGGGGACAUUUCCCUGGUGGGGGAUUCAUUGGUGGUCCAGUGGUGAGAGUGAACUCUAGCCCGCGCCCCCGGGCUAGAGUUCACUCGCGAGAUUUGGAGCGUUGCCAUGGUAACCGCGGCAAAGCUCCAAAUCUCGAGAGAGGAGGACCCGGAGGAGCUGCAGACUGAGCUCCCAGGUCCUCUCUCUCACUCCCUCCCUCCUAAGCUGUAGUGGUUAUUGUGUCUGGAUUAUUUAUUUAAAUAAUCUACAAGUGCACCUCCCGAGAUCAGGCUCUGGAUCCGCCACUGUCUCAGUCUGGCCCUGGUACUUUCCGAACAAUUAAAAACAAGUUCUUCGACUGAGUCACUGGAAAACAAGAACAGAUUAGGAAAUAUUUUGAGACACUGUAUUAAUAAGGGUGUCAAUAAGAUAUUUUUAGCUCAAUUCGAUAUAUAUUGCACAACGAAAGGAGCAUUUUAACCACCAGGACAUACCAGCUGGCUCACAGAGAGAUACUGGCUGCCGCACGUUAGCCAAAGUAAGGAGACAGCAGACAGGUGAGAUUAGAACGUUAGUUUGUAUUUAUCAUUUUAUUGAUUAAUGACUCAAAUAACGAUUAGAUUAACUUUUCAAUUCUUAUAACCUGUAGCCAAUACAAUUCUCACACACACACCCUGACUGUUCCUCAACAUUAAAAAGUAAAAUCCAGGUUAAAUUUGGAUAGAAAUAACACUCCUAUAACACCUGGCAGUAAUGGUCGGGUGAAACUCGCAUUGAUUGUACAUUGUUAUUAUUAUUAUUAUUUAUAAUGUACAUCUUUGCUCAAUUGUUGUCAUAGCAUGAAGGCUUGAGCUAUAAGAAGGAAAGUGGCCAGCUGGCAAAUAUAUAGGGAAUAGUUUACAAAUAGUGUGUACUCUAGACUGAAUUAGGGAGCAGACUAGCCACCUCCAGGAGUGUGUGUAUCGAGUGAUCAUCUUUUUAGCACAAAGACUCUGGCUACACAAAGAAAGCUGGCUGGCUGGCAAAUAGAUAAGGAAUAGCUAACUAUCGGUGUUCAUUUCAGACCUAAUCAGGGAGCAGCUUAGCCACAUCCUGACUGUGUAUAGUUAUUGUGGAUUAUUAUCUAAACAUUUAUAUUUUUAAUAAAUAGGGAAGAGUGGAACUGGAAGUGUCUUAAAGACCAAUCAGGGGCCAGCACAGCCACCCCACACAUUGUUCACUGACAGAAUGGAUUUUUGUUGGUUUAGAUUUUACCACCAAACUUGAUUUCUCUUGAGGUGUAAGGGAGAUCUCUAAUAAUAACUCCAGUUAGUGUAAACGAAGCUAUUGAUGGAAGCUUUUUUAGGACUUGCAAGGAUUCUAUGUUCUGCAGGUUGAAUUUCUUUCUAUAUGCAGUAUGUAUAUAUUGAGAUUGUUGACACUUCCAGGGAAUACAAAUUGUAAUUGUUGCCAUAAGCAGAUUGGACGGAAUUGUUAAUAUCUGUUUCGUUGCAGCUAAAAUAUAUGUUGCAAAUGGUGUUUCCACUAUUGCAACACUGAACGAGAACUCAUUCACGAGAAGUUACGUUUUAUUUCCCCACAGUUAAAUAAUCUAUCUAACGGGAGAGUUAACACCCCUCUUUUGUGGACCACGAAACCACAACUGGUUAGGGAAACGGAAGGGGUUGGGUUUCUUAUUGCUAAAAAUAAAGAAUUGAUUGUUGUUGAGAUGUUUGUGCUGCGAUAACGAAACGUAAUACAGAGACAUCAUUUUUACUGAAUUAUGGCUCAGUGCAAGAGUAGCUAAAAAACUAAUUCUGCAUAAUUCUAGUUAGUGAUCACAGUUAUUUAACCCCUUAAGGACCAAACUUCUGGAAUAAAAGGGAAUAAUGACAUGUCACACGUCAUGUGUUCGUAAGGGGUUAAUGGUGGAGUUUACUCUGUAUUUAUUCGGUUACUGGGAGUGCUGAGUAUAAGGGUUAAUCUGUAUUCAUUCUGUAACUAGGAGUGCUGAAUGAAAGGGUUAAUCUGUAUCCUCUCUGUUAUUGAGAGCGCAGAGUGAAAAGGUUAAUCUGUAGAGUCUCACUGCUCAAUUCUCUGCCAUUUAAAUCACUUUGUUUCUGCAAUCCUAGUUACACCUCUCUGCAUGUAACUCACAAAGUCUUCCUAAACAAUUCCUGUAUAGAGAGAUCUAAGAUUUACACUUCCUAGCUUGCACAUUCUGUUUAGUUUAUCAUUUCUUAUCUCCUGCUCUGUUAAUAGCCUUCUAGAUCCUACAGAAGCCUUCUUCUCUAUGUGAAUAAAGUUCAAAUUACAGAGCAGGAGAUACAAAGUUAAGUAAGAUUGGAAAUGAAACAAUGUUUCAUGCAGGUUGUGUCAGUCACAGCCAGGGGAGGUGAGGUUAGGGCUGUAUGAACAGAAAUAAAAGUGAUAUAAAUCCUAAAUGGCUAAAAAUUGAGCAGUGACACUACAAAUGCAUGACCUAUAUACCAAAACUGCCUCAUUAAGUGAGAGUUGUUUUGGUGACAAUAGUGUCCCUUUAUUAAAAAAUGCAGCCUUGCUUCCUGUGAGUGAAUAGUUUGUGCCUAUUGAUUAUUUUGAUUAUUUUGAUGUGGGAAUAGAUGGUGUAGACACCACAGCGGCCAUAUUGAUAAAUGAGAAAGAAACAUCUGGUUAAAUUACGAUACUUACUCUCACGUGUUAGAUUUUCCAAAUUGUCCAAACUGCACUUACACUCUGAUUUAAUAUUAAAUAAUAUGGGAUUUCAUGAUUUACUAUAAUGUUGACAUAUUCACCAUAUAAAUCUAUAUUUUGAAUAUAUAGCCAUUUAUCUGUUCAGAUCUGGGAAUUGGACUUUUGUCAAAUUAAUGUUUAUAUACUAAAGUGUUAUUUCUGCCCAACGCAUUUCAUACAAUUCUGGAACGUCUUAUGUUAGAAAUAUUUUGUAGGAGGUUUAAUCUAAUCAAGACGUUCCUCACUGUGAAAUCAAUCCAAUAUCAGUAUCAUGUAACAUUGUUCUUUGAUUUCUGCAGGUGAAUAUAUUUUUCUUAAAUCGAGAAGCAGAACGAGCCAUGGCUAAGGUUACAAGGAAAGAUGGCGGCUCUGUAAAUAUACGCGGAAACAUGCCGGAAUCUUUAUCUGAUGAGACAAUCACAGUGGAUGUUACAGAAAUCCUGCCACCACCUUCACCAAUAUAUUUAUAUUACUUGGAAACCAAUCAUUUACCAUUUGAUGGACAAACCAAUAGAAAAACUUUUAUUCCCUCCAAUAUCAUGUGUAUGGCUUGCUACUUACCUGGAAAUAGGGACAAAGAAUGGUGUAAAGAGAAUUGUUACCACUGAGUAACAUAAAUACAAUAAGCACUUUGUUUUUAAAAGAAACUGUUACAUAAAAAUAUCCUCUAAUAAAAUCCUUCAUUAAAACCUAUUUUCUGUCUAUUGAUGUUAACUCUGCCAGAAGAUAUUCUGCUUCCACAGAAGGUCUAAUAUGGUUUGUGAUGUGCCACGUUCUUUCUGUAGCCUGUGUAGCCAAAAAUCCUGGCGCCUGCCCUGUGUCUAUGUUCUCAUGUUACUUCUAUUACAUGUCUUUACUGCUUUUAAAUUUUGUGACUAAGGAUAAUUUAAUCCCCUUUUCAUUUCAAAUUAAGAUUAUGCACAAAUAUAAUUAUUUAAAGGGUUUCACUGAAUUUAUUCAGAAUUAUGUGACGGCAUUUAUCGGCCUGUCCCCAUGAUAUGACUUUAAGAUUAGACCCUGUAUAAUGUGUUAGCUAUAUUCAUUUACCAAUACAUUGUGUGACGCGGUAGAUGACCGCCAAUUUAGAGAGUAAAUUUAGUGUUUAUUCCCUAUAACGUUGCCUCCAGAUUUCUCUGAAUGUUUGCCCUGAACUGAGUUGUCACAGAAUGUGGUUCUUUAUAAAAACUGUAUGUAAUGGAUCACCUGGCACACAGACUUGGUACCUCCGUUGAAGGAUGCUCCUAGCGCUUCCUGAGGGUUUCCAGCACUCAAGCAGACACCAUAACCGUAUGGGGAGCAGUGUGUGUAUGGGGGGGCAGUGUGUGUAAAGGGGGGCAGUGUGUGUAUGGGGACACUGUUUGUGGGGCAGUGUGUGUAUGUGUGGGGCAGUGUGUGUAUGGGGACAGUGUUUGUAGGCAGUGUGUGUGUAUGGGGGGCUGUGUUUGGGGGCAGUGUGUGUAUGGGGGGGCAGUGUGUGUAAAGGGGGGCAGUGUGUGUAUGGGGACACUGUUUGUGGGGCAGUGUGUAUAUGGGGGGCAGUGUGUGUAUGGGGACAGUGUUUGUGGGGCAGUGUGUGUAUGGGGACAGUGUUUGUAGGCAGUGUGUGUGUAUGGGGGGCUGUGUGUGUGUAUGGGGGGGCAGUGUGUGUGUAAUGAGGGGGGAAGGAGGCUUUUUAAUAAUACAUUUUUUUUUAUUUAAUAAAAUAAAUAUUCUAUGUCCCCCCUCCCUUCUUACCUUUAUUUAGGAGGAGGGGGACAUUUCCCUGGUGGGGGAUUCAUUGGUGGUCCAGUGGUGAGAGUGAACUCUAGCCCGCGCCCCCGGGCUAGAGUUCACUCGCGAGAUUUGGAGCGUUGCCGUGGUAACCGCGGCAAAGCUCCAAAUCUCGAGAGAGGAGGACCCGGAGGAGCUGCAGACUGAGCUCCCAGGUCCUCUCUCUCACUCCCUCCCUCCUAAGCUGUAGUGGUUAUUGUGUCUGGAUUAUUUAUUUAAAUAAUCUACAAGUGCACCUCCCGAGAUCAGGCUCUGGAUCCGCCACUGUCUCAGUCUGGCCCUGGUACUUUCCGAACAAUUAAAAACAAGUUCUUCGACUGAGUCACUGGAAAACAAGAACAGAUUAGGAAAUAUUUUGAGACACUGAAUUAAUAAGGGUGUCAAUAAGAUAUUUUUAGCUCAAUUCGAUAUAUAUUGCACAACGAAAGGAGCAUUUUAACCACCAGGACAUACCAGCUGGCUCACAGAGAGAUACUGGCUGCCGCACGUUAGCCAAAGUAAGGAGACAGCAGACAGGUGAGAUUAGAACGUUAGUUUGUAGUUAUCAUUUUAUUGAUUAAUGACUCAAAUAACGAUUAGAUUAACUUUUCAAUUCUUAUAACCUGUAGCCAAUACAAUUCUCACACACACACCCUGACUGUUCCUCAACAUUAAAAAGUAAAAUCCAGGUUAAAUUUGGAUAGAAAUAACACUCCUAUAACACCUGGCAGUAAUGGUCGGGUGAAACUCGCAUUGAUUGUACAUUGUUAUUAUUAUUAUUAUUUAUAAUGUACAUCUUUGCUCAAUUGUUGUCAUAGCAUGAAGGCUUGAGCUAUAAGAAGGAAAGUGGCCAGCUGGCAAAUAUAUAGGGAAUAGUUUACAAAUAGUGUGUACUCUAGACUGAAUUAGGGAGCAGACUAGCCACCUCCAGGAGUGUGUGUAUCGAGUGAUCAUCUUUUUAGCACAAAGACUCUGGCUACACAAAGAAAGCUGGCUGGCUGGCAAAUAGAUAAGGAAUAGCUAACUAUCGGUGUUCAUUUCAGACCUAAUCAGGGAGCAGCUUAGCCACAUCCUGACUGUGUAUAGUUAUUGUGGAUUAUUAUCUAAACAUUUAUAUUUUUAAUAAAUAGGGAAGAGUGGAACUGGAAGUGUCUUAAAGACCAAUCAGGGGCCAGCACAGCCACCCCACACAUUGUUCACUGACAGAAUGGAUUUUUGUUGGUUUAGAUUUUACCACCAAACUUGAUUUCUCUUGAGGUGUAAGGGAGAUCUCUAAUAAUAACUCCAGUUAGUGUAAACGAAGCUAUUGAUGGAAGCUUUUUUAGGACUUGCAAGGAUUCUAUGUUCUGCAGGUUGAAUUUCUUUCUAUAUGCAGUAUGUAUAUAUUGAGAUUGUUGACACUUCCAGGGAAUACAAAUUGUAAUUGUUGCCAUAAGCAGAUUGGACGGAAUUGUUAAUAUCUGUUUCGUUGCAGCUAAAAUAUAUGUUGCAAAUGGUGUUUCCACUAUUGCAACACUGAACGAGAACUCAUUCACGAGAAGUUACGUUUUAUUUCCCCACAGUUAAAUAAUCUAUCUAACGGGAGAGUUAACACCCCUCGGUUUGUGUUGUGGACCACGAAACCACAACUGGUUAGGGAAACGGAAGGGGUUGGGUUUCUUAUUGCUAAAAAUAAAGAAUUGAUUGUUGUUGAGAUGUUUGUGCUGCGAUAACGAAACGUAAUACAGAGACAUCAUUUUUACUGAAUUAUGGCUCAGUGCAAGAGUAGCUAAAAAACUAAUUCUGCAUAAUUCUAGUUAGUGAUCACAGUUAUUUAACCCCUUAAGGACCAAACUUCUGGAAUAAAAGGGAAUAAUGACAUGUCACACGUCAUGUGUUCGUAAGGGGUUAAUGGUGGAGUUUACUCUGUAUUUAUUCGGUUACUGGGAGUGCUGAGUAUAAGGGUUAAUCUGUAUUCAUUCUGUAACUAGGAGUGCUGAAUGAAAGGGUUAAUCUGUAUCCUCUCUGUUAUUGAGAGUGCAGAGUGAAAAGGUUAAUCUGUAGAGUCUCACUGCUCAAUUCUCUGCCAUUUAAAUCACUUUGUUUCUGCAAUCCUAGUUACACCUCUCUGCAUGUAACUCACAAAGUCUUCCUAAACAAUUCCUGUAUAGAGAGAUCUAAGAUUUACACUUCCUAGCUUGCACAUUCUGUUUAGUUUAUCAUUUCUUAUCUCCUGCUCUGUUAAUAGCCUUCUAGAUCCUACAGAAGCCUUCUUCUCUAUGUGAAUAAAGUUCAAAUUACAGAGCAGGAGAUACAAAGUUAAGUAAGAUUGGAAAUGAAACAAUGUUUCAUGCAGGUUGUGUCAGUCACAGCCAGGGGAGGUGAGGUUAGGGCUGUAUGAACAGAAAUAAAAGUGAUAUAAAUCCUAAAUGGCUAAAAAUUGAGCAGUGACACUACAAAUGCAUGACCUAUAUACCAAAACUGCCUCAUUAAGUGAGAGUUGUUUUGGUGACAAUAGUGUCCCUUUAUUAAAAAAUGCAGCCUUGCUUCCUGUGAGUGAAUAGUUUGUGCCUAUUGAUUAUUUUGAUUAUUUUGAUGUGGGAAUAGAUGGUGUAGACACCACAGCGGCCAUAUUGAUAAAUGAGAAAGAAACAUCUGGUUAAAUUACGAUACUUACUCUCACGUGUUAGAUUUUCCAAAUUGUCCAAACUGCACUUACACUCUGAUUUAAUAUUAAAUAAUAUGGGAUUUCAUGAUUUACUAUAAUGUUGACAUAUUCACCAUAUAAAUCUAUAUUUUGAAUAUAUAGCCAUUUAUCUGUUCAGAUCUGGGAAUUGGACUUUUGUCAAAUUAAUGUUUAUAUACUAAAGUGUUAUUUCUGCCCAACGCAUUUCAUACAAUUCUGGAACGUCUUAUGUUAGAAAUAUUUUGUAGGAGGUUUAAUCUAAUCAAGACGUUCCUCACUGUGAAAUCAAUCCAAUAUCAGUAUCAUGUAACAUUGUUCUUUGAUUUCUGCAGGUGAAUAUAUUUUUCUUAAAUCGAGAAGCAGAACGAGCCAUGGCUAAGGUUACAAGGAAAGAUGGCGGCUCUGUAAAUAUACGCGGAAACAUGCCGGAAUCUUUAUCUGAUGAGACAAUCACAGUGGAUGUUACAGAAAUCCUGCCACCACCUUCACCAAUAUAUUUAUAUUACUUGGAAACCAAUCAUUUACCAUUUGAUGGACAAACCAAUAGAAAAACUUUUAUUCCCUCCAAUAUCAUGUGUAUGGCUUGCUACUUACCUGGAAAUAGGGACAAAGAAUGGUGUAAAGAGAAUUGUUACCACUGAGUAACAUAAAUACAAUAAGCACUUUGUUUUUAAAAGAAACUGUUACAUAAAAAUAUCCUCUAAUAAAAUCCUUCAUUAAAACCUAUUUUCUGUCUAUUGAUGUUAACUCUGCCAGAAGAUAUUGUGCUUCCACAGAAGGUCUAAUAUGGUUUGUGAUGUGCCACGUUCUUUCUGUAGCCUGUGUAGCCAAAAAUCCUGGCGCCUGCCCUGUGUCUACGUUCUCAUGUUACUUCUAUUACAUGUCUUUACUGCUUUUAAAUUUUGUGACUAAGGAUAAUUUAAUCCCCUUUUCAUUUCAAAUUAAGAUUAUGCACAAAUAUAAUUAUUUAAAGGGUUUCACUGAAUUUAUUCAGAAUUAUGUGACGGCAUUUAUCGGCCUGUCCCCAUGAUAUGACUUUAAGAUUAGACCCUGUAUAAUGUGUUAGCUAUAUUCAUUUACCAAUACAUUGUGUGACGCGGUAGAUGACCGCCAAUUUAGAGAGUAAAUUUAGUGUUUAUUCCCUAUAACGUUGCCUCCAGAUUUCUCUGAAUGUUUGCCCUGAACUGAGUUGUCACAGAAUGUGGUUCUUUAUAAAAACUGUAUGUAAUGGAUCACCUGGCACACAGACUUGGUACCUCCGUUGAAGGAUGCUCCUAGCGCUUCCUGAGGGUUUCCAGCACUCAAGCAGACACCAUAACCGUAUGGGGACCAGUGUGUGUAUGGGGGGGCAGUGUGUGUAAAGGGGGGCAGUGUGUGUAUGGGGACACUGUUUGUGGGGCAGUGUGUGUAUGGGGGGCAGUGUAUGGGGACAGUGUUUGUGGGGCAGUGUGUGUAUGGGGACAGUGUUUGUAGGCAGUGUGUGUGUAUGGGGGGCUGUGUUUGGGGGCAGUGUGUGUAUGGGGGGGCAGUGUGUGUAAAGGGGGGCAGUGUGUGUAUGGGGACACUGUUUGUGGGGCAGUGUGUAUAUGGGGGGCAGUGUGUGUAUGGGGACAGUGUUUGUGGGGCAGUGUGUGUAUGGGGACAGUGUUUGUAGGCAGUGUGUGUGUAUGGGGGGCUGUGUGUGUGUAUGGGGGGGGCAGUGUGUGUGUAAUGAGGGGGGAAGGAGGCUUUUUAAUAAUACAUUUUUUUUUAUUUAAUAAAAUAAAUAUUCUAUGUCCCCCCUCCCUUCUUACCUUUAUUUAGGAGGAGGGGGACAUUUCCCUGGUGGGGGAUUCAUUGGUGGUCCAGUGGUGAGAGUGAACUCUAGCCCGCGCCCCCGGGCUAGAGUUCACUCGCGAGAUUUGGAGCGUUGCCGUGGUAACCGCGGCAAAGCUCCAAAUCUCGAGAGAGGAGGACCCGGAGGAGCUGCAGACUGAGCUCCCAGGUCCUCUCUCUCACUCCCUCCCUCCUAAGCUGUAGUGGUUAUUGUGUCUGGAUUAUUUAUUUAAAUAAUCUACAAGUGCACCUCCCGAGAUCAGGCUCUGGAUCCGCCACUGUCUCAGUCUGGCCCUGGUACUUUCCGAACAAUUAAAAACAAGUUCUUCGACUGAGUCACUGGAAAACAAGAACAGAUUAGGAAAUAUGUUGAGACACUGAAUUAAUAAGGGUGUCAAUAAGAUAUUUUUAGCUCAAUUCGAUAUAUAUUGCACAACGAAAGGAGCAUUUUAACCACCAGGACAUACCAGCUGGCUCACAGAGAGAUACUGGCUGCCGCACGUUAGCCAAAGUAAGGAGACAGCAGACAGGUGAGAUUAGAACGUUAGUUUGUAGUUAUCAUUUUAUUGAUUAAUGACUCAAAUAACGAUUAGAUUAACUUUUCAAUUCUUAUAACCUGUAGCCAAUACAAUUCUCACACACACACCCUGACUGUUCCUCAACAUUAAAAAGUAAAAUCCAGGUUAAAUUUGGAUAGAAAUAACACUCCUAUAACACCUGGCAGUAAUGGUCGGGUGAAACUCGCAUUGAUUGUACAUUGUUAUUAUUAUUAUUAUUUAUAAUGUACAUCUUUGCUCAAUUGUUGUCAUAGCAUGAAGGCUUGAGCUAUAAGAAGGAAAGUGGCCAGCUGGCAAAUAUAUAGGGAAUAGUUUACAAAUAGUGUGUACUCUAGACUGAAUUAGGGAGCAGACUAGCCACCUCCAGGAGUGUGCGUAUCGAGUGAUCAUCUUUUUAGCACAAAGACUCUGGCUACACAAAGAAAGCUGGCUGGCUGGCAAAUAGAUAAGGAAUAGCUAACUAUCGGUGUUCAUUUCAGACCUAAUCAGGGAGCAGCUUAGCCACAUCCUGACUGUGUAUAGUUAUUGUGGAUUAUUAUCCAAACAUUUAUAUUUUUAAUAAAUAGGGAAGAGUGGAACUGGAAGUGUCUUAAAGACCAAUCAGGGGCCAGCACAGCCACCCCACACAUUGUUCACUGACAGAAUGGAUUUUUGUUGGUUUAGAUUUUACCACCAAACUUGAUUUCUCUUGAGGUGUAAGGGAGAUCUCUAAUAAUAACUCCAGUUAGUGUAAACGAAGCUAUUGAUGGAAGCUUUUUUAGGACUUGCAAGGAUUCUAUGUUCUGCAGGUUGAAUUUCUUUCUAUAUGCAGUAUGUAUAUAUUGAGAUUGUUGACACUUCCAGGGAAUACAAAUUGUAAUUGUUGCCAUAAGCAGAUUGGACGGAAUUGUUAAUAUCUGUUUCGUUGCAGCUAAAAUAUAUGUUGCAAAUGGUGUUUCCACUAUUGCAACACUGAACGAGAACUCAUUCACGAGAAGUUACGUUUUAUUUCCCCACAGUUAAAUAAUCUAUCUAACGGGAGAGUUAACACCCCUCGGUUUGUGUUGUGGACCACGAAACCACAACUGGUUAGGGAAACGGAAGGGGUUGGGUUUCUUAUUGCUAAAAAUAAAGAAUUGAUUGUUGUUGAGAUGUUUGUGCUGCGAUAACGAAACGUAAUACAGAGACAUCAUUUUUACUGAAUUAUGGCUCAGUGCAAGAGUAGCUAAAAAACUAAUUCUGCAUAAUUCUAGUUAGUGAUCACAGUUAUUUAACCCCUUAAGGACCAAACUUCUGGAAUAAAAGGGAAUAAUGACAUGUCACACGUCAUGUGUUCGUAAGGGGUUAAUGGUGGAGUUUACUCUGUAUUUAUUCGGUUACUGGGAGUGCUGAGUAUAAGGGUUAAUCUGUAUUCAUUCUGUAACUAGGAGUGCUGAAUGAAAGGGUUAAUCUGUAUCCUCUCUGUUAUUGAGAGCGCAGAGUGAAAAGGUUAAUCUGUAGAGUCUCACUGCUCAAUUCUCUGCCAUUUAAAUCACUUUGUUUCUGCAAUCCUAGUUACACCUCUCUGCAUGUAACUCACAAAGUCUUCCUAAACAAUUCCUGUAUAGAGAGAUCUAAGAUUUACACUUCCUAGCUUGCACAUUCUGUUUAGUUUAUCAUUUCUUAUCUCCUGCUCUGUUAAUAGCCUUCUAGAUCCUACAGAAGCCUUCUUCUCUAUGUGAAUAAAGUUCAAAUUACAGAGCAGGAGAUACAAAGUUAAGUAAGAUUGGAAAUGAAACAAUGUUUCAUGCAGGUUGUGUCAGUCACAGCCAGGGGAGGUGAGGUUAGGGCUGUAUGAACAGAAAUAAAAGUGAUAUAAAUCCUAAAUGGCUAAAAAUUGAGCAGUGACACUACAAAUGCAUGACCUAUAUACCAAAACUGCCUCAUUAAGUGAGAGUUGUUUUGGUGACAAUAGUGUCCCUUUAUUAAAAAAUGCAGCCUUGCUUCCUGUGAGUGAAUAGUUUGUGCCUAUUGAUUAUUUUGAUUAUUUUGAUGUGGGAAUAGAUGGUGUAGACACCACAGCGGCCAUAUUGAUAAAUGAGAAAGAAACAUCUGGUUAAAUUACGAUACUUACUCUCACGUGUUAGAUUUUCCAAAUUGUCCAAACUGCACUUACACUCUGAUUUAAUAUUAAAUAAUAUGGGAUUUCAUGAUUUACUAUAAUGUUGACAUAUUCACCAUAUAAAUCUAUAUUUUGAAUAUAUAGCCAUUUAUCUGUUCAGAUCUGGGAAUUGGACUUUUGUCAAAUUAAUGUUUAUAUACUAAAGUGUUAUUUCUGCCCAACGCAUUUCAUACAAUUCUGGAACGUCUUAUGUUAGAAAUAUUUUGUAGGAGGUUUAAUCUAAUCAAGACGUUCCUCACUGUGAAAUCAAUCCAAUAUCAGUAUCAUGUAACAUUGUUCUUUGAUUUCUGCAGGUGAAUAUAUUUUUCUUAAAUCGAGAAGCAGAACGAGCCAUGGCUAAGGUUACAAGGAAAGAUGGCGGCUCUGUAAAUAUACGCGGAAACAUGCCGGAAUCUUUAUCUGAUGAGACAAUCACAGUGGAUGUUACAGAAAUCCUGCCACCACCUUCACCAAUAUAUUUAUAUUACUUGGAAACCAAUCAUUUACCAUUUGAUGGACAAACCAAUAGAAAAACUUUUAUUCCCUCCAAUAUCAUGUGUAUGGCUUGCUACUUACCUGGAAAUGGGGACAAAGAAUGGUGUAAAGAGAAUUGUUACCACUGAGUAACAUAAAUACAAUAAGCACUUUGUUUUUAAAAGAAACUGUUAUGUAAAAAUAUCCUCUAAUAAAAUCCUUCAUUAAAACCUAUUUUCUGUCUAUUGAUGUUAACUCUGCCAGAAGAUAUUCUGCUUCCACAGAAGGUCUAAUAUGGUUUGUGAUGUGCCACGUUCUUUCUGUAGCCUGUGUAGCCAAAAAUCCUCGCGCCUGCCCUGUGUCUACGUUCUCAUGUUACUUCUAUUACAUGUCUUUACUGCUUUUACAUUUUGGGAUUAAGGAUAAUUUAAUCCCCUUUUCAUUUCAAAUUAAGAUUAUGCACAAAUAUAAUUAUUUAAAGGGUUUCACUGAAUUUAUUCAGAAUUAUGUGACGGCAUUUAUCGGCCUGUCCCCAUGAUAUGACUUUAAGAUUAGACCCUGUAUAAUGUGUUAGCUAUAUUCAUUUACCAAUACAUUGUGUGACGCGGUAGAUGACCGCCAAUUCAGAGAGUAAAUUUACUGUUUAUUCCCUAUAACGUUGCCUCCAGAUUGCUCUGAAUGUUUGCCCUGAACUGAGUUGUCACAGAAUGUGGUUCUUUAUAAAAACUGUAUGUAACGGAUCACCUGGCACACAGACUGGGUACCUCCGUUGAAGGAUGCUCCUAGCGCUUCCUGAGGGUUUCCAGCAUUCAAGCAGACACCAUAACCGUAUGGGGAGCAGUGUGUGUAUGGGGGGGCAGUGUGUGUAAAGGGGGGCAGUGUGUGUAUGGGGACACUGUUUGUGGGGCAGUGUGUGUAUGGGGGGCAGUGUGUGUAUGGGGACAGUGUUUGUGGGGCAGUGUGUGUAUGGGGACAGUGUUUGUAGGCAGUGUGUGUGUAUGGGGGGCUGUGUUUGGGGGCAGUGUGUGUAUGGGGGGGCAGUGUGUGUAAAGGGGGGCAGUGUGUGUAUGGGGACACUGUUUGUGGGGCAGUGUGUAUAUGGGGGGCAGUGUGUGUAUGGGGACAGUGUUUGUGGGGCAGUGUGUGUAUGGGGACAGUGUUUGUAGGCAGUGUGUGUGUAUGGGGGGCUGUGUGUGUGUAUGGGGGGGCAGUGUGUGUGUAAUGAGGGGGGAAGGAGGCUUUUUAAUAAUACAUUUUUUUUUAUUUAAUAAAAUAAAUAUUCUAUGUCCCCCCUCCCUUCUUACCUUUAUUUAGGAGGAGGGGGACAUUUCCCUGGUGGGGGAUUCAUUGGUGGUCCAGUGGUGAGAGUGAACUCUAGCCCGCGCCCCCGGGCUAGAGUUCACUCGCGAGAUUUGGAGCGUUGCCAUGGUAACCGCGGCAAAGCUCCAAAUCUCGAGAGAGGAGGACCCGGAGGAGCUGCAGACUGAGCUCCCAGGUCCUCUCUCUCACUCCCUCCCUCCUAAGCUGUAGUGGUUAUUGUGUCUGGAUUAUUUAUUUAAAUAAUCUACAAGUGCACCUCCCGAGAUCAGGCUCUGGAUCCGCCACUGUCUCAGUCUGGCCCUGGUACUUUCCGAACAAUUAAAAACAAGUUCUUCGACUGAGUCACUGGAAAACAAGAACAGAUUAGGAAAUAUUUUGAGACACUGUAUUAAUAAGGGUGUCAAUAAGAUAUUUUUAGCUCAAUUCGAUAUAUAUUGCACAACGAAAGGAGCAUUUUAACCACCAGGACAUACCAGCUGGCUCACAGAGAGAUACUGGCUGCCGCACGUUAGCCAAAGUAAGGAGACAGCAGACAGGUGAGAUUAGAACGUUAGUUUGUAUUUAUCAUUUUAUUGAUUAAUGACUCAAAUAACGAUUAGAUUAACUUUUCAAUUCUUAUAACCUGUAGCCAAUACAAUUCUCACACACACACCCUGACUGUUCCUCAACAUUAAAAAGUAAAAUCCAGGUUAAAUUUGGAUAGAAAUAACACUCCUAUAACACCUGGCAGUAAUGGUCGGGUGAAACUCGCAUUGAUUGUACAUUGUUAUUAUUAUUAUUAUUUAUAAUGUACAUCUUUGCUCAAUUGUUGUCAUAGCAUGAAGGCUUGAGCUAUAAGAAGGAAAGUGGCCAGCUGGCAAAUAUAUAGGGAAUAGUUUACAAAUAGUGUGUACUCUAGACUGAAUUAGGGAGCAGACUAGCCACCUCCAGGAGUGUGCGUAUCGAGUGAUCAUCUUUUUAGCACAAAGACUCUGGCUACACAAAGAAAGCUGGCUGGCUGGCAAAUAGAUAAGGAAUAGCUAACUAUCGGUGUUCAUUUCAGACCUAAUCAGGGAGCAGCUUAGCCACAUCCUGACUGUGUAUAGUUAUUGUGGAUUAUUAUCCAAACAUUUAUAUUUUUAAUAAAUAGGGAAGAGUGGAACUGGAAGUGUCUUAAAGACCAAUCAGGGGCCAGCACAGCCACCCCACACAUUGUUCACUGACAGAAUGGAUUUUUGUUGGUUUAGAUUUUACCACCAAACUUGAUUUCUCUUGAGGUGUAAGGGAGAUCUCUAAUAAUAACUCCAGUUAGUGUAAACGAAGCUAUUGAUGGAAGCUUUUUUAGGACUUGCAAGGAUUCUAUGUUCUGCAGGUUGAAUUUCUUUCUAUAUGCAGUAUGUAUAUAUUGAGAUUGUUGACACUUCCAGGGAAUACAAAUUGUAAUUGUUGCCAUAAGCAGAUUGGACGGAAUUGUUAAUAUCUGUUUCGUUGCAGCUAAAAUAUAUGUUGCAAAUGGUGUUUCCACUAUUGCAACACUGAACGAGAACUCAUUCACGAGAAGUUACGUUUUAUUUCCCCACAGUUAAAUAAUCUAUCUAACGGGAGAGUUAACACCCCUCGGUUUGUGUUGUGGACCACGAAACCACAACUGGUUAGGGAAACGGAAGGGGUUGGGUUUCUUAUUGCUAAAAAUAAAGAAUUGAUUGUUGUUGAGAUGUUUGUGCUGCGAUAACGAAACGUAAUACAGAGACAUCAUUUUUACUGAAUUAUGGCUCAGUGCAAGAGUAGCUAAAAAACUAAUUCUGCAUAAUUCUAGUUAGUGAUCACAGUUAUUUAACCCCUUAAGGACCAAACUUCUGGAAUAAAAGGGAAUAAUGACAUGUCACACGUCAUGUGUUCGUAAGGGGUUAAUGGUGGAGUUUACUCUGUAUUUAUUCGGUUACUGGGAGUGCUGAGUAUAAGGGUUAAUCUGUAUUCAUUCUGUAACUAGGAGUGCUGAAUGAAAGGGUUAAUCUGUAUCCUCUCUGUUAUUGAGAGCGCAGAGUGAAAAGGUUAAUCUGUAGAGUCUCACUGCUCAAUUCUCUGCCAUUUAAAUCACUUUGUUUCUGCAAUCCUAGUUACACCUCUCUGCAUGUAACUCACAAAGUCUUCCUAAACAAUUCCUGUAUAGAGAGAUCUAAGAUUUACACUUCCUAGCUUGCACAUUCUGUUUAGUUUAUCAUUUCUUAUCUCCUGCUCUGUUAAUAGCCUUCUAGAUCCUACAGAAGCCUUCUUCUCUAUGUGAAUAAAGUUCAAAUUACAGAGCAGGAGAUACAAAGUUAAGUAAGAUUGGAAAUGAAACAAUGUUUCAUGCAGGUUGUGUCAGUCACAGCCAGGGGAGGUGAGGUUAGGGCUGUAUGAACAGAAAUAAAAGUGAUAUAAAUCCUAAAUGGCUAAAAAUUGAGCAGUGACACUACAAAUGCAUGACCUAUAUACCAAAACUGCCUCAUUAAGUGAGAGUUGUUUUGGUGACAAUAGUGUCCCUUUAUUAAAAAAUGCAGCCUUGCUUCCUGUGAGUGAAUAGUUUGUGCCUAUUGAUUAUUUUGAUUAUUUUGAUGUGGGAAUAGAUGGUGUAGACACCACAGCGGCCAUAUUGAUAAAUGAGAAAGAAACAUCUGGUUAAAUUACGAUACUUACUCUCACGUGUUAGAUUUUCCAAAUUGUCCAAACUGCACUUACACUCUGAUUUAAUAUUAAAUAAUAUGGGAUUUCAUGAUUUACUAUAAUGUUGACAUAUUCACCAUAUAAAUCUAUAUUUUGAAUAUAUAGCCAUUUAUCUGUUCAGAUCUGGGAAUUGGACUUUUGUCAAAUUAAUGUUUAUAUACUAAAGUGUUAUUUCUGCCCAACGCAUUUCAUACAAUUCUGGAACGUCUUAUGUUAGAAAUAUUUUGUAGGAGGUUUAAUCUAAUCAAGACGUUCCUCACUGUGAAAUCAAUCCAAUAUCAGUAUCAUGUAACAUUGUUCUUUGAUUUCUGCAGGUGAAUAUAUUUUUCUUAAAUCGAGAAGCAGAACGAGCCAUGGCUAAGGUUACAAGGAAAGAUGGCGGCUCUGUAAAUAUACGCGGAAACAUGCCGGAAUCUUUAUCUGAUGAGACAAUCACAGUGGAUGUUACAGAAAUCCUGCCACCACCUUCACCAAUAUAUUUAUAUUACUUGGAAACCAAUCAUUUACCAUUUGAUGGACAAACCAAUAGAAAAACUUUUAUUCCCUCCAAUAUCAUGUGUAUGGCUUGCUACUUACCUGGAAAUAGGGACAAAGAAUGGUGUAAAGAGAAUUGUUACCACUGAGUAACAUAAAUACAAUAAGCACUUUGUUUUUAAAAGAAACUGUUACAUAAAAAUAUCCUCUAAUAAAAUCCUUCAUUAAAACCUAUUUUCUGUCUAUUGAUGUUAACUCUGCCAGAAGAUAUUGUGCUUCCACAGAAGGUCUAAUAUGGUUUGUGAUGUGCCACGUUCUUUCUGUAGCCUGUGUAGCCAAAAAUCCUGGCGCCUGCCCUGUGUCUACGUUCUCAUGUUACUUCUAUUACAUGUCUUUACUGCUUUUAAAUUUUGUGACUAAGGAUAAUUUAAUCCCCUUUUCAUUUCAAAUUAAGAUUAUGCACAAAUAUAAUUAUUUAAAGGGUUUCACUGAAUUUAUUCAGAAUUAUGUGACGGCAUUUAUCGGCCUGUCCCCAUGAUAUGACUUUAAGAUUAGACCCUGUAUAAUGUGUUAGCUAUAUUCAUUUACCAAUACAUUGUGUGACGCGGUAGAUGACCGCCAAUUCAGAGAGUAAAUUUACUGUUUAUUCCCUAUAACGUUGCCUCCAGAUUUCUCUGAAUGUUUGCCCUGAACUGAGUUGUCACAGAAUGUGGUUCUUUAUAAAAACUGUAUGUAAUGGAUCACCUGGCACACAGACUUGGUACCUCCGUUGAAGGAUGGUCCUAGCGCUUCCUGAGGGUUUCCAGCACUCAAGCAGACACCAUAACCGUAUGGGGAGCAGUGUGUGUAUGGGGGGGCAGUGUGUGUAAAGGGGGGCAGUGUGUGUAUGGGGACACUGUUUGUGGGGCAGUGUGUGUAUGGGGGGCAGUGUGUGUAUGGGGACAGUGUUUGUGGGGCAGUGUGUGUAUGGGGACAGUGUUUGUAGGCAGUGUGUGUGUAUGGGGGGCUGUGUUUGGGGGCAGUGUGUGUAUGGGGGGGCAGUGUGUGUAAAGGGGGGCAGUGUGUGUAUGGGGACACUGUUUGUGGGGCAGUGUGUAUAUGGGGGGCAGUGUGUGUAUGGGGACAGUGUUUGUGGGGCAGUGUGUGUAUGGGGACAGUGUUUGUAGGCAGUGUGUGUGUAUGGGGGGCUGUGUGUGUGUAUGGGGGGGGCAGUGUGUGUGUAAUGAGGGGGGAAGGAGGCUUUUUAAUAAUACAUUUUUUUUUAUUUAAUAAAAUAAAUAUUCUAUGUCCCCCCUCCCUUCUUACCUUUAUUUAGGAGGAGGGGGACAUUUCCCUGGUGGGGGAUUCAUUGGUGGUCCAGUGGUGAGAGUGAACUCUAGCCCGCGCCCCCGGGCUAGAGUUCACUCGCGAGAUUUGGAGCGUUGCCGUGGUAACCGCGGCAAAGCUCCAAAUCUCGAGAGAGGAGGACCCGGAGGAGCUGCAGAUUGAGCUCCCAGGUCCUCUCUCUCACUCCCUCCCUCCUAAACUGUAGUGGUUAUUGUGUCUGGAUUAUUUAUUUAAAUAAUCUACAAGUGCCCCUCCCGAGAUCAGGCUCUGGAUCCGCCACUGUCUCAGUCUGGCCCUGGUACUUUCCGAACAAUUAAAAACAAGUUCUUCGACUGAGUCACUGGAAAACAAGAACAGAUUAGGAAAUAUUUUGAGACACUGAAUUAAUAAGGGUGUCAAUAAGAUAUUUUUAGCUCAAUUCGAUAUAUAUUGCACAACGAAAGGAGCAUUUUAACCACCAGGACAUACCAGCUGGCUCACAGAGAGAUACUGGCUGCCGCACGUUAGCCAAAGUAAGGAGACAGCAGACAGGUGAGAUUAGAACGUUAGUUUGUAGUUAUCAUUUUAUUGAUUAAUGACUCAAAUAACGAUUAGAUUAACUUUUCAAUUCUUAUAACCUGUAGCCAAUACAAUUCUCACACACACACCCUGACUGUUCCUCAACAUUAAAAAGUAAAAUCCAGGUUAAAUUUGGAUAGAAAUAACACUCCUAUAACACCUGGCAGUAAUGGUCGGGUGAAACUCGCAUUGAUUGUACAUUGUUAUUAUUAUUAUUAUUUAUAAUGUACAUCUUUGCUCAAUUGUUGUCAUAGCAUGAAGGCUUGAGCUAUAAGAAGGAAAGUGGCCAGCUGGCAAAUAUAUAGGGAAUAGUUUACAAAUAGUGUGUACUCUAGACUGAAUUAGGGAGCAGACUAGCCACCUCCAGGAGUGUGCGUAUCGAGUGAUCAUCUUUUUAGCACAAAGACUCUGGCUACACAAAGAAAGCUGGCUGGCUGGCAAAUAGAUAAGGAAUAGCUAACUAUCGGUGUUCAUUUCAGACCUAAUCAGGGAGCAGCUUAGCCACAUCCUGACUGUGUAUAGUUAUUGUGGAUUAUUAUCCAAACAUUUAUAUUUUUAAUAAAUAGGGAAGAGUGGAACUGGAAGUGUCUUAAAGACCAAUCAGGGGCCAGCACAGCCACCCCACACAUUGUUCACUGACAGAAUGGAUUUUUGUUGGUUUAGAUUUUACCACCAAACUUGAUUUCUCUUGAGGUGUAAGGGAGAUCUCUAAUAAUAACUCCAGUUAGUGUAAACGAAGCUAUUGAUGGAAGCUUUUUUAGGACUUGCAAGGAUUCUAUGUUCUGCAGGUUGAAUUUCUUUCUAUAUGCAGUAUGUAUAUAUUGAGAUUGUUGACACUUCCAGGGAAUACAAAUUGUAAUUGUUGCCAUAAGCAGAUUGGACGGAAUUGUUAAUAUCUGUUUCGUUGCAGCUAAAAUAUAUGUUGCAAAUGGUGUUUCCACUAUUGCAACACUGAACGAGAACUCAUUCACGAGAAGUUACGUUUUAUUUCCCCACAGUUAAAUAAUCUAUCUAACGGGAGAGUUAACACCCCUCGGUUUGUGUUGUGGACCACGAAACCACAACUGGUUAGGGAAACGGAAGGGGUUGGGUUUCUUAUUGCUAAAAAUAAAGAAUUGAUUGUUGUUGAGAUGUUUGUGCUGCGAUAACGAAACGUAAUACAGAGACAUCAUUUUUACUGAAUUAUGGCUCAGUGCAAGAGUAGCUAAAAAACUAAUUCUGCAUAAUUCUAGUUAGUGAUCACAGUUAUUUAACCCCUUAAGGACCAAACUUCUGGAAUAAAAGGGAAUAAUGACAUGUCACACGUCAUGUGUUCGUAAGGGGUUAAUGGUGGAGUUUACUCUGUAUUUAUUCGGUUACUGGGAGUGCUGAGUAUAAGGGUUAAUCUGUAUUCAUUCUGUAACUAGGAGUGCUGAAUGAAAGGGUUAAUCUGUAUCCUCUCUGUUAUUGAGAGCGCAGAGUGAAAAGGUUAAUCUGUAGAGUCUCACUGCUCAAUUCUCUGCCAUUUAAAUCACUUUGUUUCUGCAAUCCUAGUUACACCUCUCUGCAUGUAACUCACAAAGUCUUCCUAAACAAUUCCUGUAUAGAGAGAUCUAAGAUUUACACUUCCUAGCUUGCACAUUCUGUUUAGUUUAUCAUUUCUUAUCUCCUGCUCUGUUAAUAGCCUUCUAGAUCCUACAGAAGCCUUCUUCUCUAUGUGAAUAAAGUUCAAAUUACAGAGCAGGAGAUACAAAGUUAAGUAAGAUUGGAAAUGAAACAAUGUUUCAUGCAGGUUGUGUCAGUCACAGCCAGGGGAGGUGAGGUUAGGGCUGUAUGAACAGAAAUAAAAGUGAUAUAAAUCCUAAAUGGCUAAAAAUUGAGCAGUGACACUACAAAUGCAUGACCUAUAUACCAAAACUGCCUCAUUAAGUGAGAGUUGUUUUGGUGACAAUAGUGUCCCUUUAUUAAAAAAUGCAGCCUUGCUUCCUGUGAGUGAAUAGUUUGUGCCUAUUGAUUAUUUUGAUUAUUUUGAUGUGGGAAUAGAUGGUGUAGACACCACAGCGGCCAUAUUGAUAAAUGAGAAAGAAACAUCUGGUUAAAUUACGAUACUUACUCUCACGUGUUAGAUUUUCCAAAUUGUCCAAACUGCACUUACACUCUGAUUUAAUAUUAAAUAAUAUGGGAUUUCAUGAUUUACUAUAAUGUUGACAUAUUCACCAUAUAAAUCUAUAUUUUGAAUAUAUAGCCAUUUAUCUGUUCAGAUCUGGGAAUUGGACUUUUGUCAAAUUAAUGUUUAUAUACUAAAGUGUUAUUUCUGCCCAACGCAUUUCAUACAAUUCUGGAACGUCUUAUGUUAGAAAUAUUUUGUAGGAGGUUUAAUCUAAUCAAGACGUUCCUCACUGUGAAAUCAAUCCAAUAUCAGUAUCAUGUAACAUUGUUCUUUGAUUUCUGCAGGUGAAUAUAUUUUUCUUAAAUCGAGAAGCAGAACGAGCCAUGGCUAAGGUUACAAGGAAAGAUGGCGGCUCUGUAAAUAUACGCGGAAACAUGCCGGAAUCUUUAUCUGAUGAGACAAUCACAGUGGAUGUUACAGAAAUCCUGCCACCACCUUCACCAAUAUAUUUAUAUUACUUGGAAACCAAUCAUUUACCAUUUGAUGGACAAACCAAUAGAAAAACUUUUAUUCCCUCCAAUAUCAUGUGUAUGGCUUGCUACUUACCUGGAAAUAGGGACAAAGAAUGGUGUAAAGAGAAUUGUUACCACUGAGUAACAUAAAUACAAUAAGCACUUUGUUUUUAAAAGAAACUGUUACAUAAAAAUAUCCUCUAAUAAAAUCCUUCAUUAAAACCUA
Molecule: non-coding RNA, 25342 nt
Organism: Pelobates cultripes (western spadefoot toad)
Lineage: Eukaryota; Metazoa; Chordata; Amphibia; Anura; Pelobatidae
Source: the annotation of a GenBank genome assembly